Molecule: ribosomal RNA, 2271 nt
Filed under: Listeria monocytogenes
Lineage: Bacteria; Bacillati; Bacillota; Bacilli; Caryophanales; Listeriaceae
Description: partial 23S ribosomal RNA
Rfam family: Bacterial large subunit ribosomal RNA
Source: RNAcentral
ACACUCUAUACGGAGUUACAAAAGAAAGUUAUAAAUGAAGCGGUCUGGAAAGGCCCGCCAAAGACGGUAACAGCCCGGUAGUUGAAAUGGCUUUCCCUCCAGAGUGGAUCCUGAGUACGGCGGAACACGUGAAAUUCCGUCGGAAUCCGGGAGGACCAUCUCCCAAGGCUAAAUACUCCCUAGUGACCGAUAGUGAACCAGUACCGUGAGGGAAAGGUGAAAAGCACCCCGGAAGGGGAGUGAAACAGUUCCUGAAACCGUGUGCCUACAAGUAGUUAGAGCCCGUUAAUGGGUGAUAGCGUGCCUUUUGUAGAAUGAACCGGCGAGUUACGAUUUGUUGCAAGGUUAAGCGGAAAAAGCGGAGCCGUAGCGAAAGCGAGUCUGAAUAGGGCGCAUAAGUAACAGGUCGUAGACCCGAAACCAGGUGAUCUACCCAUGUCCAGGAUGAAGGUAAGGUAAUACUUACUGGAGGUCCGAACCCACGCACGUUGAAAAGUGCGGGGAUGAGGUGUGGGUAGCGGAGAAAUUCCAAUCGAACUUGGAGAUAGCUGGUUCUCUCCGAAAUAGCUUUAGGGCUAGCCUCGAGGUAAAGAGUCAUGGAGGUAGAGCACUGUUUGGACUAGGGGCCCUUCUCGGGUUACCGAAUUCAGAUAAACUCCGAAUGCCAUGUACUUAUACUCGGGAGUCAGACUGCGAGUGAUAAGAUCCGUAGUCGAAAGGGAAACAGCCCAGACCACCAGUUAAGGUCCCCAAAUAUAUGUUAAGUGGAAAAGGAUGUGGGGUUGCUUAGACAACCAGGAUGUUGGCUUAGAAGCAGCCACCAUUGAAAGAGUGCGUAAUAGCUCACUGGUCGAGUGACCCCGCGCCGAAAAUGUACCGGGGCUAAACAUAUUACCGAAACUGUGGAUGAACCUCUUUAGAGGUUCGUGGUAGGAGAGCGUUCUAAGGGCGGUGAAGUCAGACCGGAAGGACUGGUGGAGCGCUUAGAAGUGAGAAUGCCGGUAUGAGUAGCGAAAGAAGGGUGAGAAUCCCUUCCACCGAAUAUCUAAGGUUUCCUGAGGAAGGCUCGUCCGCUCAGGGUUAGUCGGGACCUAAGCCGAGGCCGAUAGGCGUAGGCGAUGGACAACAGGUAGAGAUUCCUGUACCAGUGCUAAUUGUUUAACCGAUGGGGUGACACAGAAGGAUAGGGAAUCGCACGAAUGGAAAUGUGCGUCCAAGCAGUGAGUGUGAGAAGUAGGCAAAUCCGCUUCUCGCGAAGCAUGAGCUGUGAUGGGGAAGGAAAUUAAGUACGGAAGUUCCUGAUUUCACGCUGUCAAGAAAAGCCUCUAGGAAGAGUAGUACUGCCCGUACCGCAAACCGACACAGGUAGAUGAGGAGAGAAUCCUAAGGUGAGCGAGAGAACUCUCGUUAAGGAACUCGGCAAAAUGACCCCGUAACUUCGGGAGAAGGGGUGCUCUAUUAGGGUGCAAGCCCGAGAGAGCCGCAGUGAAUAGGCCCAGGCGACUGUUUAGCAAAAACACAGGUCUCUGCAAAACCGUAAGGUGACGUAUAGGGGCUGACGCCUGCCCGGUGCUGGAAGGUUAAGAGGAGUGCUUAGCUUCGGCGAAGGUACGAAUUGAAGCCCCAGUAAACGGCGGCCGUAACUAUAACGGUCCUAAGGUAGCGAAAUUCCUUGUCGGGUAAGUUCCGACCCGCACGAAAGGCGCAACGAUCUGGGCACUGUCUCAACGAGAGACUCGGUGAAAUUAUAGUACCUGUGAAGAUGCAGGUUACCCGCGACAGGACGGAAAGACCCCGUGGAGCUUUACUGCAACCUGAUAUGGAAUGUUUGUACCGCUUGUACAGGAUAGGUAGGAGCCGAAGAGACGUGUGCGCUAGCAUACGAGGAGGCAAUGGUGGGAUACUACCCUGGCUGUAUGACCAUUCUAACCCGCCACGCUUAGCGCGUGGGGAGACAGUGUCAGGUGGGCAGUUUGACUGGGGCGGUCGCCUCCUAAAGAGUAACGGAGGCGCCCAAAGGUUCCCUCAGAAUGGAUGGAAAUCAUUCGCAGAGUGUAAAGGCACAAGGGAGCUUGACUGCGAGACUGACAAGUCGAGCAGGGACGAAAGUCGGGCUUAGUGAUCCGGUGGUUCCGCAUGGAAGGGCCAUCGCUCAACGGAUAAAAGCUACCCCGGGGAUAACAGGCUUAUCUCCCCCAAGAGUCCACAUCGACGGGGAGGUUUGGCACCUCGAUGUCGGCUCGUCGCAUCCUGGGGCUGUAGUCGGUCCCA